GGCCCUGCACCGCAUAUCUCAACAGGGGCAACCCUGACGCAGCAACGCCGCGUGAGUGAGGAAGGUUUUCGGAUCGUAAAGCUCUGUCGAGUGGGAAGAAAUGUAUCAUGGCUAAUAUCCAUGAUACUUGACGGUACCGCUAAAGGAAGCACCGGCUAACUCCGUGCCAGCAGCCGCGGUAAUACGGGGGGUGCAAGCGUUGUUCGGAAUUAUUGGGCGUAAAGAGCGUGUAGGCGGCUGAAUAAGUCAGAUGUGAAAUCCCUGGGCUUAACCCAGGAAGUGCAUUUGAAACUAUUCAGCUUGAGUAGGGGAGAGGAAAGUGGAAUUCCUGGUGUAGAGGUGAAAUUCGUAGAUAUCAGGAGGAACACCGGUGGCGAAGGCGACUUUCUGGCCCUAUACUGACGCUGAGACGCGAGAGCGUGGGUAGCAAACAGGAUUAGAUACCCUGGUAGUCCACGCCGUAAAACGAU
Molecule: ribosomal RNA, 470 nt
Filed under: uncultured prokaryote
Description: bacterial SSU rRNA
Rfam family: Bacterial small subunit ribosomal RNA
Source: RNAcentral